GACGAACGCUGGCGGCGUGCCUAAUACAUGCAAGUAGAACGCUGAGGAGAGGAGCUUGCUCUUCUUGGAUGAGUUGCGAACGGGUGAGUAACGCGUAGGUAACCUGCCUUGUAGCGGGGGAUAACUAUUGGAAACGAUAGCUAAUACCGCAUAACAAUGGAUGACACAUGUCAUUUAUUUGAAAGGGGCAAUUGCUCCACUACAAGAUGGACCUGCGUUGUAUUAGCUAGUAGGUGAGGUAAUGGCUCACCUAGGCGACGAUACAUAGCCGACCUGAGAGGGUGAUCUGCCACGCUGGGACUGAGACACGGCCCAGACUCCUACGGGAGGCAGCAGUAGGGAAUCUUCGGCAAUGGGGGCAACCCUGACCGAGCAACGCCGCGUGAGUGAAGAAGGUUUUCGGAUCGUAAAGCUCUGUUGUAAGUCAAGAACGGGUGUGAGAGUGGAAAGUUCACACUGUGACGGUAGCUUACCAGAAAGGGACGGCUAACUACGUG
RNAcentral lists this ribosomal RNA (497 nucleotides) under uncultured bacterium. Its description in RNAcentral is "partial 16S ribosomal RNA". It matches the Rfam family "Bacterial small subunit ribosomal RNA", at positions 28 to 507 of the family's 1533-position model. The record is from RNAcentral.